GAUGAACGCUGGCGGAGUGCCUAACACAUGCAAGUCGAGCGGCAGCGCGAGUAGUUUACUACUUGGCGGCGAGCGGCGGACGGCUGAGUAACGCGUGGGAACAUGCCCCAAAGUGAGGAAUAACUGCCCGAAAGGGUAGCUAAUGCCGCAUACGAUCUUCGGAUUAAAGGAUUUAUCCGCUUUGGGAGUGGCCUGCGUACGAUUAGAUAGUUGGUGAGGUAAUGGCUCACCAAGUCUACGAUCGUUAACUGGUUUGAGAGGAUGAUCAGUCAGACUGGAACUGAGACACGGUCCAGACUCCUACGGGAGGCAGCAGUGAGGAAUCUUCCACAAUGGACGAAAGUCUGAUGGAGCAACUCCGCGUGCAGGAUGAAGGCCUCGUCGGUAACUAGCUUAUUGUAGUGAAGAAGUAAUAGUACGGUAACGUAC
Molecule: ribosomal RNA, 429 nt
Filed under: uncultured bacterium
Lineage: Bacteria
Description: bacterial SSU rRNA
Rfam family: Bacterial small subunit ribosomal RNA
Source: RNAcentral